Molecule: ribosomal RNA, 467 nt
Filed under: uncultured bacterium
Lineage: Bacteria
Description: bacterial SSU rRNA
Rfam family: Bacterial small subunit ribosomal RNA
Source: RNAcentral
UGAGGAAUAUUGGACAAUGGGCGCAAGCCUGAUCCAGCCAUGCCGCGUGCAGGAUGACGGUCCUAUGGAUUGUAAACUGCUUUUGUACAGGAAGAAACAGUUCUACGUGUAGAACCUUGACGGUACUGUAAGAAUAGGGAUCGGCUAACUCCGUGCCAGCAGCCGCGGUAAUACGGAGGAUCCAAGCGUUAUCCGGAAUCAUUGGGUUUAAAGGGUCCGUAGGCGGUUAGAUAAGUCAGUGGUGAAAGCCCAUCGCUCAACGGUGGAACGGCCAUUGAUACUGUCUGACUUGAAUUAUUAGGAAGUAACUAGAAUAUGUAGUGUAGCGGUGAAAUGCUUAGAGAUUACAUGGAAUACCAAUUGCGAAGGCAGGUUACUACUAAUGGAUUGACGCUGAUGGACGAAAGCGUGGGUAGCAAACAGGAUUACAUACCCCCGUAGUCCCUGAGCGGGCUGGCAAGGCGCAU